RNAcentral lists this transfer RNA (72 nucleotides) under Salibacter halophilus. It matches the Rfam family "tRNA". Rfam says of the family: Transfer RNA (tRNA) molecules are approximately 80 nucleotides in length. Their secondary structure includes four short double-helical elements and three loops (D, anti-codon, and T loops). The record is from Rfam by way of RNAcentral. RNAcentral also lists the same sequence under 1 other name. Lineage: Bacteria; Pseudomonadati; Bacteroidota; Flavobacteriia; Flavobacteriales; Salibacteraceae.
GGUCCGUUCGUCUAGGGGUUAGGACACCACCCUUUCACGGUGGAGACACGGGUUCGAUUCCCGUACGGACUA